GGGAACUUCAUUAUUAACAUAUAAAAUCCUUAACCACAGUUCUUUAUGCAUCUUUGUUUUAAAUAAAGCACACAUGAAAGUUUUUUCCAGAGUGAAUUAGUGCACAAAGCGUUAUCAGCUUAUGUGGGCAGUAGUUCAGAGCAGUAAAAACUAUAUCCUGCUUACACCUUCCAGCCUAUCCUAUGACCUGGUCUGAGUAAACAAGUUGUACCAGGAUCUCUGAAUUACUAGUAAGUAGCUGGGUUUUUUUACAGGUUAUUUAGAUCCAAGAGGAGGCAAGAUAAAGUUCCAAGAAGUUCUCCCUUGGGAAUGGUCUCCUGAUAACUGCCUUAUACACCGAGAAGAAUACACAGCGUUUUUGGGACGCGCCUUUGUUGGAUUUUAAUAUAUGUCCUGCUAACAACAGCUUUCAACUAUGGAAUCGAAAAACUGCUGCAUUACGCGGAGCUAAUUCUCCAGGAGUCACCGAUUUGAACGGUUUGUAGCACAGAGCUCUAGUGUGCGAGCUGACAGCUGGUAUAAUUCGCACUUUCCUAACAUC
This 541-nucleotide long non-coding RNA is filed under the name Apteryx rowi (Okarito brown kiwi). RNAcentral describes it as "lncRNA (ENSARWG00000005952.1)". Lineage: Eukaryota; Metazoa; Chordata; Aves; Apterygiformes; Apterygidae. The record is from RNAcentral.